GCGGCGGAGGGCCGGCUCAGGAGCACCUGCCGGGGAGGAGCCCAGAGAAGUCACCCCGGCAGACGCCUGGGUGUCCCGGCAGCCUGCGGUGGCGGUGGUGGAGGCAGCUGGCCGUCCCGCCUGAGCCAGAGGGAGAGCGCGGGAUGGAGACUUCCUGGAAGACUCCUGCCACACACUCAUGAGUCAAGACCUCCACCUGUGCUCUGCAUAUUCCCAGACACCUCCUUUCCGAUGUCACCGUCGCCAGCAAGGGGCCCAGUGUAAGAAGGAGGAAGGACUGCUUUAUCUUUAAAGAUACAGCUAGGCCCUCUUCCAGGAAGCACGUCUGCUUGCCCCCGCACCCACCAGGGAGGGGACACAGAAGUGAGAGGCGAUCCCAGGCCAGGAGAAAAGGGAGCAAGAGCUGCAGGUGAUCCUGACCUGGGCAUCAGGGGCCUCGGGAGGGCACAAUCUUCUUCCCGGUGCUCAUCCUGGGGAGGGGCCUGUGAGGAGGUGGAGGACUAGCAAUCAGACUGAAAGGACACUUCCUGAGGCUCUGGGCUCAGAUUUCCUGCCCUGCUCACCUCCCCACCCCUCAUACAGGUACAUGGGACCACUCCACAGUCAGCUCCAAGCUAGAGGGGCCGCCAGCCUGUCAUUUUAAAAACUGACUUUUCCAUUCAUUUCCUGCUCAUCCCCACAUUCCAUUGCUUCCCUGAGUUAAAAAUAAAGGCGCUCCAUCCCCCAAGCCCCUCCCACUGACCCUCCUGCAGCCACUGCUACUGUACCUGCCAGCAGCCGGGCAGCCGGCCGAGGCCCUCCUGGGCCAGCCCCAGUCUGGCUGCCGCAGCUUCCCCAAGCAAGCCGGGUCCGGGCCCGGGGCCGGCUGCAUUCCUCUCCGGAAUCUUUGCUCCACUCUUUAUUGUGCCUCAAGUUUCAGCUGCAACUAAAUAAAUACAAUCCCGCUACUCUCGGCCCUGGGGACAGCCACAGGGUUUACUGGUGCAAACAGCCUGGGCUGGCCUGUUGCUUUGGGAGUUCUUCCAGAUCGGUGUGGAAGGAAAUCUGGACAAUGGAGACGAGCAGCCCAGAUGAGGCCAAACUCCACGGUUAACAGCCCCCACUCUCAGCCAUCCUUCCCUGACUGCGGCCCUGCCGAAGCCGGGAUUGGCACUUCACUCCUAAAGGCCGCCCCCACCUGCCUGUGCAGAGUAAGGGGGAAUCCAGCGUCGUGGAGACCAGGGCCCUUGGCAGUCUGCCCCAAGGCCCCCCGUGCUUCAACUCUGAAGAAUACUGAAAACUCCCCAAAGGGCUGUUGCCUCUCACUUCCCGCUGGGAGCCCAACAUUCUGCCUGCUCAGUAAGCACCUAAUAAAUGCCCACUCAAUGAACAAUGGCUGUGAGAUCCAGUGUGGAGACUAACCCAGCCCAGCCCUGCCCAACAGAACCUUCUGCGCUGAUGUAAACGUCUGUAUCUGCAAGGUCAGUGUGGCAGCCACGUGUGGCUGAGAGUUUCCAGCAUGGCCAGUGCUACUGAGGACUGAGUUUUUCAUUUGUGUUAAAUAAAUAACUUAAAUGUAAACCCAUGCCUGCUAGCUGCCCUGCUGGACCAGGUCUACCUCUCCUCCUCCUCCUCCCUGGAGACAAGGCAUCCUCCGUAAAUUUCUUCUCCAGAAGGCAAACAGAAAAGCGACUUUUCAGCCAAGGCAAAAAGAGACUGAUAUUUCUGUUUUAAA
Molecule: long non-coding RNA, 1714 nt
Organism: Camelus dromedarius (Arabian camel)
Lineage: Eukaryota; Metazoa; Chordata; Mammalia; Artiodactyla; Camelidae
Exons: 2
Source: RefSeq, a predicted model, not a curated record